RNAcentral lists this ribosomal RNA (891 nucleotides) under Pseudomonas veronii. RNAcentral's name for it is "bacterial SSU rRNA". It matches the Rfam family "Bacterial small subunit ribosomal RNA", at positions 37 to 923 of the family's 1533-position model. Lineage: Bacteria; Pseudomonadati; Pseudomonadota; Gammaproteobacteria; Pseudomonadales; Pseudomonadaceae. The record is from RNAcentral.
UGGCGGCAGGCCUAACACAUGCAAGUCGAGCGGUAGAGAGAAGCUUGCUUCUCUUGAGAGCGGCGGACGGGUGAGUAAUGCCUAGGAAUCUGCCUGGUAGUGGGGGAUAACGUUCGGAAACGGACGCUAAUACCGCAUACGUCCUACGGGAGAAAGCAGGGGACCUUCGGGCCUUGCGCUAUCAGAUGAGCCUAGGUCGGAUUAGCUAGUUGGUGAGGUAAUGGCUCACCAAGGCGACGAUCCGUAACUGGUCUGAGAGGAUGAUCAGUCACACUGGAACUGAGACACGGUCCAGACUCCUACGGGAGGCAGCAGUGGGGAAUAUUGGACAAUGGGCGAAAGCCUGAUCCAGCCAUGCCGCGUGUGUGAAGAAGGUCUUCGGAUUGUAAAGCACUUUAAGUUGGGAGGAAGGGCAGUUACCUAAUACGUGAUUGUUUUGACGUUACCGACAGAAUAAGCACCGGCUAACUCUGUGCCAGCAGCCGCGGUAAUACAGAGGGUGCAAGCGUUAAUCGGAAUUACUGGGCGUAAAGCGCGCGUAGGUGGUUAGUUAAGUUGGAUGUGAAAUCCCCGGGCUCAACCUGGGAACUGCAUUCAAAACUGACUGACUAGAGUAUGGUAGAGGGUGGUGGAAUUUCCUGUGUAGCGGUGAAAUGCGUAGAUAUAGGAAGGAACACCAGUGGCGAAGGCGACCACCUGGACUGAUACUGACACUGAGGUGCGAAAGCGUGGGGAGCAAACAGGAUUAGAUACCCUGGUAGUCCACGCCGUAAACGAUGUCAACUAGCCGUUGGGAGCCUUGAGCUCUUAGUGGCGCAGCUAACGCAUUAAGUUGACCGCCUGGGGAGUACGGCCGCAAGGUUAAAACUCAAAUGAAUUGACGGGGGCCCG